Molecule: unclassified non-coding RNA, 327 nt
Filed under: soil metagenome
Description: partial contains 5.8S ribosomal RNA, internal transcribed spacer 2, and large subunit ribosomal RNA
Rfam family: 5.8S ribosomal RNA (bases 1-120)
Source: RNAcentral
GAUGAAGAACGCAGCGAAAUGCGAUAAGUAAUGUGAAUUGCAGAAUCCAGUGAAUCAUCGAAUCUUUGAACGCACAUUGCGCCCCUUGGUAUUCCGGGGGGCAUGCCUGUUCGAGCGUCAUUAUAACCCCUCAAGCUCAGCUUGGUGUUGGGGCCUGCCGACUGGCAGCCCUUAAAAUCAGUGGCGGCGCCAUCUGGCUCUAAGCGUAGUAAUUUCUCUCGCUAUAGAGUCCCGGUGGAUGCUUGCCAGCAACCCCCAACUUUCUAUGGUUGACCUCGGAUCAGGUAGGGAUACCCGCUGAACUUAAGCAUAUCAAUAAGCGGAGGA